RNAcentral lists this ribosomal RNA (626 nucleotides) under uncultured bacterium. Its description in RNAcentral is "bacterial SSU rRNA". It matches the Rfam family "Bacterial small subunit ribosomal RNA", at positions 56 to 719 of the family's 1533-position model. The record is from RNAcentral.
UGCAGUCGAGGGAGAAGCUAUCUUCGGAUAGUGGAGACCGGCAGACGGGUGAGUAACACGUGGGAACAUACCGAGUAGUGGGGGAUAACAGUUGGAAACGACUGCUAAUACCGCAUACGCCCUUCGGGGGAAAGAUUUAUCGCUAUUCGAUUGGCCCGCGUUAGAUUAGCUAGUUGGUAAGGUAACGGCUUACCAAGGCGACGAUCUAUAGCUGGUUUGAGAGGAUGAUCAGCCACACUGGGACUGAGACACGGCCCAGACUCCUACGGGAGGCAGCAGUGGGGAAUAUUGCGCAAUGGAGGAAACUCUGACGCAGCCAUGCCGCGUGAGUGAAGAAGGCCUUAGGGUUGUAAAGCUCUUUCAGACGUGAUGAUGAUGACAGUAGCGUCAAAAGAAGUUCCGGCUAACUUCGUGCCAGCAGCCGCGGUAAUACGAAGGGAACUAGCGUUGUUCGGAUUUACUGGGCGUAAAGAGCAUGUAGGCGGAUUGGACAGUUGAGGGUGAAAUCCCAGAGCUCAACUCUGGAACGGCCUUCAAUACUUCCAGUCUAGAGUCCGUAAGGGGGUGGUGGAAUUCCGAGUGUAGAGGUGAAAUUCGUAGAUAUUCGGAGGAACACCAGUGGCGAA